AUUUAUAACAAGAAGUAAUUGUAACAGGAUGCUGUUACGAAGUCUCCCAAACAAAGCUCCCAUAACUCACCAUUCAUAUGGUCCCAUGUUCAUUUGAUUUGAUUUUUUGUCUCAUAAAAAAAUAUAUAUGGCUUACGAGUGGGGAUCUCCACCAUUUACAAGUAUUCAAACAGGAGGGGGUGGUGAUGACCCUCAGGGACUUUACCUACAUUUCAUUUGAUUAGUUUUAUUGUCCCAUACAAGAAUAUAUAUGGUUAAGGGUGGGGAUGUUGACCGUUU
This 279-nucleotide long non-coding RNA is filed under the name Mytilus galloprovincialis (Mediterranean mussel). The record is from RNAcentral. Lineage: Eukaryota; Metazoa; Mollusca; Bivalvia; Mytilida; Mytilidae.